Molecule: ribosomal RNA, 253 nt
Filed under: uncultured bacterium
Lineage: Bacteria
Description: partial 16S ribosomal RNA
Rfam family: Bacterial small subunit ribosomal RNA
Source: RNAcentral
UACGUAGGGUGCAAGCGUUAAUCGGAAUUACUGGGCGUAAAGCGUGCGCAGGCGGUUGUGCAAGACAGAUGUGAAAUCCCCGGGCUCAACCUGGGAACUGCAUUUGUGACUGCACGGCUAGAGUGUGUCAGAGGGGGGUGGAAUUCCACGUGUAGCAGUGAAAUGCGUAGAUAUGUGGAGGAAUACCGAUGGCGAAGGCAGCCCCCUGGGAUAACACUGACGCUCAUGCACGAAAGCGUGGGGAGCAAACAGG